This 89-nucleotide transfer RNA is filed under the name Phycisphaerae bacterium. Its description in RNAcentral is "tRNA-Ser". It matches the Rfam family "tRNA". Rfam says of the family: Transfer RNA (tRNA) molecules are approximately 80 nucleotides in length. Their secondary structure includes four short double-helical elements and three loops (D, anti-codon, and T loops). Further hydrogen bonds mediate the characteristic L-shaped molecular structure. tRNAs have two regions of fundamental functional importance: the anti-codon, which is responsible for specific mRNA codon recognition, and the 3' end, to which the tRNAs corresponding amino acid is attached (by aminoacyl-tRNA synthetases). tRNAs cope with the degeneracy of the genetic code in two manners: having more than one tRNA (with a specific anti-codon) for a particular amino acid; and 'wobble' base-pairing, i.e. permitting non-standard base-pairing at the 3rd anti-codon position. The record is from RNAcentral. Lineage: Bacteria; Pseudomonadati; Planctomycetota; Phycisphaerae. RNAcentral also lists the same sequence under 3 other names.
GGACAGGUGACCGAGCGGCUGAAGGUACCGGUUUGCUAAACCGGCGUAGGGUGCAAACUCUACCGCGGGUUCGAAUCCCGCCCUGUCCG